RNAcentral lists this ribosomal RNA (468 nucleotides) under uncultured bacterium. RNAcentral describes it as "partial 16S ribosomal RNA". It matches the Rfam family "Bacterial small subunit ribosomal RNA", at positions 28 to 507 of the family's 1533-position model. The record is from RNAcentral.
GACGAACGCUGGCGGCGUGCUUAACACAUGCAAGUCGAACGGAAAGGCCCUGCUUUUGUGGGGUGCUCGAGUGGCGAACGGGUGAGUAACACGUGAGUAACCUGCCCUUGACUUUGGGAUAACUUCAGGAAACUGGGGCUAAUACCGGAUAGGAGCUCCUGCUGCAUGGUGGGGGUUGGAAAGUUUCGGCGGUUGGGGAUAGACUCGCGGCUUAUCAGCUUGUUGGUGGGGUAGUGGCUUACCAAGGCUUUGACGGGUAGCCGGCCUGAGAGGGUGACCGGCCACAUUGGGACUGAGAUACGGCCCAGACUCCUACGGGAGGCAGCAGUGGGGAAUAUUGCACAAUGGGCGGAAGCCUGAUGCAGCAACGCCGCGUGCGGGAUGACGGCCUUCGGGUUGUAAACCGCUUUCGCCUGUGACGAAGCGUGAGAGACGGUAAUGGGUAAAGAAGCACCGGCUAACUACGUG